Molecule: ribosomal RNA, 461 nt
Filed under: uncultured bacterium
Lineage: Bacteria
Description: SSU rRNA
Rfam family: Bacterial small subunit ribosomal RNA
Source: RNAcentral
AGAAUCAACGCUGGCGGCGUGCCUAACACAUGCAAGUCGAACGAGAAAGGGGAGCAAUCCCUGAGUAAAGUGGCGACCGGGUGAGUAACACGUGACUAACCUACCUUCGAGUGGGGGGAUAACCUCGGGAAACCGAGGCUAAUACCGCAUAACAUCGUGAGAUCAAAGCAGUAAUGCGCUGGAAGAGGGGGUCGCGGCUGAUUAGCUAGUUGGCGGGGUAAUGGCCCACCAAGGCGAAGAUCGGUAGCCGGCCUGAGAGGGCGCACGGCCACACUGGAACUGAAACACGGUCCAGACUCCUACGGGAGGCAGCAGUGGGGAAUUUUGCGCAAUGGGGGAAACCCUGACGCAGCAACGCCGCGUGGAGGAUGAAGUCCCUUGGGACGUAAACUCCUUUCGACCAAGACGAUAAUGACGGUACUGGUGGAAGAAGCACCGGCUAACUCUGCGCCAGCAGCCGC